Molecule: ribosomal RNA, 253 nt
Filed under: uncultured bacterium
Lineage: Bacteria
Description: partial 16S ribosomal RNA
Rfam family: Bacterial small subunit ribosomal RNA
Source: RNAcentral
UACGAGGGGUGCAAACGUUAUUCGGAAUUACUGGGCGUAAAGGGUGUGUAGGCGGUAUGAUAAGUCUGUUGUUAAAUUUCUCGGCCCAACCGAGAACAUGCAGUGGAUACUAUCGUGCUAGAGGGUGGAAGAGAGAGGUGGAAUUCUCGGAGUAGCGGUAAAAUGCGUAGAUCUCGAGAGGAACACCGAUGGCGAAGGCAGCCUCUUGGUCCAUUCCUGACGCUGAGACACGAAAGCGUGGGGAGCAAACAGG